This 2642-nucleotide long non-coding RNA is filed under the name Helianthus annuus (common sunflower). RNAcentral's name for it is "hypothetical non coding rna". Lineage: Eukaryota; Viridiplantae; Streptophyta; Magnoliopsida; Asterales; Asteraceae. The record is from RNAcentral.
CCAAGGGGCAGAGCCUCUGGCUGGGGUCCGGGGGCAGCGCCCCUGGGAGCAGGGUCCAAGGGGCGGCAGCCCCUGGCGGGGUCCAAGGGGCAGAGCCCCUGGCUGGGGUCGAGCUAAAAUUUAUGAAAAUUUAUGAUAAAUUUUCAGACAAAAUUUCAAGGCAGUUUUUUAAAGCAAUUUACUAAAAUUCGAAAAUAACUGCCAGAGGCAGUUAUCUGCAAGAAACCCUAAAAUUCGUUUCUAAGUUUUGGUCACAAUUCUCUGGUUUAUCAAUUUCACUCAAAAACACAUACUCAGGUUCAAUUCUCGAAAUCAGAGUUGUAUCCGAUUAAAUUAUUCGGGUGAACCACCGAAAUAAUUUGAUCUGAGAGUGAUUACACGCCUCUCUGAUCGUCCGGAAAACCGAAAUUCCCCAACACUCUCAAUUGAAUUGUGGCUCAGGUGAGAUUGAGGAGGUUUCUUAGAGUAACUUCCCUCUUGCCAUUUGAUCCUCUCAUCGCUAUGAGUUGAUGAUUUUGAAUUUUUGACUGGUGGGGUUUGCUUUAUCUUUUCUAGUUGGUUGUGGUGCUAAUUGUUUUAAUAAAUAAAAUAUUAAAAAUUUAUAAAGGGUGAACAGUAACCCUCCAAAUUACUGAUGAACAGUAAUAUUCUCUCUCCUUCACAUAUAACCACUCUUAAAAAUAUAAAGGAUACACUCGCAUAAAUAUAGAGAUUCAAUUGUGAAUGUCCUUAUUGUUGUGAUGGUGGAGAUACACCGAUUGGUGGGGCAAGAUCUGGAUAGCAUAGUGAAGAAGAAUUUGAUAUUAUACAACUGUGUAUCUGCAGCGAUGGCGUAACUUGUUUCUUCUUUGUCCCCAUCCCCCAAUUACAGAUCUGAGCCUAAUUAUUUAUCUCUUUACAUUAAAUAUAUUCUCUCUUGUAAAUAUGAUCUUAUAUUUUUAUGGAGUUUUUUUGGAGAGCAAAGUGAUUAUAAUGUUUGAAGAAUGUCAUGAGUUAAUCGAUUACUAAGUUGAUUGUAAUUUCCAACAACAUAUCUUUACCCUCACUGCAUUGGUACUCAUUUUAGUUUAUUUUAGAUCAAGGAUGCAUCAUAUUGUAGAAUAGUGGUAUUAAAGAAUGGAGUAAAUAAGUUUUUGUUUUUCAAGUAGUUGAGGGUUCUAGUACUAUUUGAUCCAUGUUGUAUGUGUUCGCCGAGAAAAACAAGAUAGCUAGCCUAUGGAGGACCAAUAUGAAAUGGGUGUAUGACAUUUACGCCAGUCGCCACCAAAUAACAUGUAUCAUAUCCUAUUACUGAGUCAAACACUGGUAUUCUUUGAUUAUAAGGUCUUCCAUAGUCGUGCUGGAUAUGGCGCCCUUCCCACACAAAGCCUCAGGGCGUCUUGAAACACCAUUAUGGCCGGCGCUAUUGGGGCUUUAUAAUUCACCCCGUGAUAUGUAUAGCGCCUGACACAAUGGUUGCUCUCACACACACAUAUAUGUAUACAUACAUAUAUGUAUAUCUAUAACUGAAGGGGUUAUAUAAUCCUCUUUCGACUACACGCUUAAGUUAUAUAACCCCCUUCUCUUACACAUUUUGUCACUUGUCACGUAAUCCCAUUUAUGGGGCUUGACCGCUACAAAUGGCCUAAAGAUAGAGAUGCCAUCGCCUUUAUCAAACAUCCUAGUUUGUGUCAUAUCACUAAUUCCAUAAUGAGUUAAUGACAAAAGUAAAAUAAAUACAAAACGACUAAAAGGAUACAAAUACAGGGGCUAUCCCAACUACUUGACAUGUACAAAAUCUGCCAAAUAUCAUUUACGAAACACCCAAUCAUUAAUACAAACAAAAUAUGAAUUCACCCUAAUGUAUCAAUGUACAAGUUUAAGUAAUUACAGAAGUACAAACUUAUUGUAACUUUGUGCAUUGUUCUAUUAUGAUUAGCUAUAACCCGAUCUAGCCCUUUGAAACAUAUUUGAACAUAAUAAAGCGUAUCACGAGCCAUUAAGAGCUCAAUACAAUACAUUAAGACAUGUACGAUUUGUUAUUGCACGUUACUAUCUAAAUAUGACUUGCCACAUAAUGAAGUUUUAGACGUCCAAUCCGUCUCUCUCAAUCUCAAUCGAUUCCCAACAGGAUGAUGAACGACCAACCACCGUGAAUGGGCUGAGCACCACCGUUUAGCAUGUUGGUAAAUGUUGACCCAGUUUGGAAUGUGGAUGUGAGCAUUGGGGUUAACGUUGCUGCUUUGUAGUAGUUUUUUGGGUUUGUUUUUCCUCUAUUUAAAAAGUCAUAGAAUAGCUUCAUAAUCAUAAAUCGAAAUUUCAUUUUCACUUUGUAAGCUGUAAUGAAACAUUCAAGCAGCUGAUUAAACAUUCAACAUCAAUAAAAGCAUAUCCUUGUCAUUCACUGUCAGACCGUCGCUAAAGCGGGAACAUGGGAAUGCAACAAAUCAAAUAUCGUGAAUAUUCCAAACAUGCAUUCAUUCAAAAUAAGACAAACAUGAUGUGCGGUUUUUAAUACAAGUUGAAGAUUCUAAAAAUCACGCCAUGUUAUGUUUAUGCGAAAUGUAUGAGUGGGUGAAAUGCAAUCUACACGAGUGCACAACCAAGCCAAAUAGCGAGAAGCAAGGGCGGACCUAAGUGUUUGCGUGGGCGGGCGGGCGCAC